This 236-nucleotide ribosomal RNA is filed under the name uncultured bacterium. RNAcentral describes it as "partial 16S ribosomal RNA". It matches the Rfam family "Bacterial small subunit ribosomal RNA", at positions 99 to 334 of the family's 1533-position model. The record is from RNAcentral.
CGAACGGGUGAGGAACGCGUGGACAACCUACCCCGGCGUGGGGGAUACCCGCCAGAAAUGGCGGCUAAUACCGCGUACGGUUCUCCGGCGUCAGGCUGGGGAAAGAAAGCAGUGAUGCGCGCUGGGAGGGGUCUGCGGCCGAUUAGCUUGUUGGCGGGGUAACGGCCCACCAAGGCGAUGAUCGGUAGCUGGUCUGAGAGGAUGAUCAGCCACACGGGGACUGAGACACGGCCCCG